This 1888-nucleotide long non-coding RNA is filed under the name Salmo salar (Atlantic salmon). RNAcentral's name for it is "lncRNA (ENSSSAG00000102170.1)". Lineage: Eukaryota; Metazoa; Chordata; Actinopteri; Salmoniformes; Salmonidae. The record is from RNAcentral.
AAAUUGAGCAAAAAGUCAAUAUCAUACAAUUUCUUCAAAGGUUUAUUCAUUGUUUUGUGGAAGUAACCAUAGACUAACAAAAUAAAUGUUUACAUAAAAGCAAAAUCAGACAAUACAAUGAGAUAUUAUGCAUUUGGUCAUUGGAUAACAAUCCAGUCUCUAUCAAAAUGUUUUAACUCAUAACUUAACAAUAAAAAAAGACUAUUCUCACCAACUUAUUUUUUUACAAUCCUUAAUAAUUUAUAGAUUUUCUAAAAUAUGACAAAAGUGAAUUGCUUUCUGUUUGUCAGCAUCUGUUUGAAAGCAUGAGUUUUUGCACAGAAAAAAAAGUACAGUACCGGACCGAAGCCUUGGGGUACAUUUAGUUUGCUGACUGAUUCUGUGUCCCUACAGGGUGUACAGGUAAAACAAUGGCUGUUCUGUGCCUCUGAAGCCUCAACACAUUGUUUUCCCCUUCAAAUCAAUCCCAUAAAUUCUCAAUGACGCCUUUUCUUCUGUUUCUUUCUAUUGGAGAACAGAGAGUUUAAAGUGCAGCUUUUAACGGUUUGCACAUUCAAGAAUAAGAGUCAUUGCUAAAAGUAACUUUGUGCAGCUUUUCUAAAUCACCCCUUGACCACAAGCACAGUCUAGGUUGUCAAACAAUGGGCCCAAACAGCACAGAGAAUUUAAAAAAGUGUAGAUUCUGACACAUAAACAGUACCUUGAAGAUAUACAUACAAUUAGUGAGUCGGCAGAAAAUGGCUGACUAGUUACAAUAACAGUCCAACUUGAUUUCUCUCAGUUGUGUACUUGGCAUUGGGUUGCUACAAUGUAAAUAACAUACUUUAUAAGUAUUUAAGGAGGAUUCUUUCCAUUCGGUCAAAAAAGGAACACAACGCGUUAUGGUUAAGUAAAACUUUGAUACAGCAGAACAACCACUGCGAUAAACAAACUCACAAUAACAAAUACUUGAACAAUUGCUUUGCUGGCUGACAAAGAGAUAAUACUGAAAAGGCUAGUUAUUUGUAAUUUUUUGAGAAAGUCUCUCUUGUUCUCUCUCUCUGGCUUCUUGUAAACAGCCAUUUGAAUGUGAUUCUGAACAGCUAAGCAGGAGUGAGUGUAGGAUUAAACGGCAUGGUGAGCUAGGCUGGGAUUCAAUCAAACCCGCCUUAGCAAUGUUUACUCGGUGUCUUUAUGUACAAUAUUCAUCACAUGCCCACGCACUUCUAAUUCUGAUACAGUACCCAAGACCAGUCUGUGAAUUCAUUUGACCAUUGGAAAAAUAACAACUGCGUAAAUACUGCAAUCCGGGUUGGAUUAAAUUGACCUCCUAGUCUUUUUUCCACUGUUGACGUACCUUGUUCUAAAGGAAAACAUAUAAGGGAGCAACACUGUACUUCAUAUAAUACUACACUGAUAACAGAAAGAAAAACAUCCCUUUAGUUCAUGGCCCUCUUUGAUUAAACAGAUACAGCACAGUGCCGACUAAACCUCCGACCCGAGUGUGUGUGGGUUUGCACGCCUGUCUGCUGGUCUGCCUGCGUGUGUGUGUGUGUGUGUGUGUGUGUGUGUGCACGUGAGCAUGCCUGCUGUAUGCUGGUGCUAGUUCAACAUUUGCUUGCGCUUUCCAGUUUAAAAGCCUCGAUAAGGAUCCAUCCCCUCUCAGAAAUAAAACCCCAAGGCCGAGCUGUGGAAAACAUGAUGGUGGUUGUGACUAACAACAGCACAAUGGAUCUGCUGGUAUCCUAUCCAUUCUGACCCUCAAGUGCUAGGUGUUAGUGUGUUUGGCUGGAGUGAAGUUUAUCUAUGUAUUCACAGUUAUUGUCUGUUUAGUUUAAUUUCAUUUAGCCACACACUGCUUUUUUUUUGUGUGUGUGUGUGUGUGUGUGUGUGUGUGUGUGUGUGUGUG